This 464-nucleotide ribosomal RNA is filed under the name Vreelandella stevensii. RNAcentral describes it as "partial 16S ribosomal RNA". It matches the Rfam family "Bacterial small subunit ribosomal RNA", at positions 338 to 795 of the family's 1533-position model. Lineage: Bacteria; Pseudomonadati; Pseudomonadota; Gammaproteobacteria; Oceanospirillales; Halomonadaceae. The record is from RNAcentral.
CCUAGGGAGGCAGCAGUGGGGAAUAUUGGACAAUGGGGGCAACCCUGAUCCAGCCAUGCCGCGUGUGUGAAGAAGGCCCUCGGGUUGUAAAGCACUUUCAGUGAGGAAGAACGCCUGGUGGUUAAUACCCAUCAGGAAAGACAUCACUCACAGAAGAAGCACCGGCUAACUCCGUGCCAGCAGCCGCGGUAAUACGGAGGGUGCGAGCGUUAAUCGGAAUUACUGGGCGUAAAGCGCGCGUAGGUGGCUUGAUAAGCCGGUUGUGAAAGCCCCGGGCUCAACCUGGGAACGGCAUCCGGAACUGUCAAGCUAGAGUGCAGGAGAGGAAGGUAGAAUUCCCGGUGUAGCGGUGAAAUGCGUAGAGAUCGGGAGGAAUACCAGUGGCGAAGGCGGCCUUCUGGACUGACACUGACACUGAGGUGCGAAAGCGUGGGUAGCAAACAGGAUUAGAUACCCCAGUAGUC